RNAcentral lists this ribosomal RNA (468 nucleotides) under uncultured bacterium. Its description in RNAcentral is "partial 16S ribosomal RNA". It matches the Rfam family "Bacterial small subunit ribosomal RNA", at positions 28 to 507 of the family's 1533-position model. The record is from RNAcentral.
GACGAACGCUGGCGGCGGGCUUAACACAUGCAAGUCGAACGGUGAAAGAAGAGCUUGCUCUUCUGGAGCAGGGGCGAACGGGGGAGGAACACGUGAGUAACCGACCCCAGACUCUGGAGGGGGCGCUGGAAGCGGCGUCUAAUACCGGAUACGAUACAGAGCUGCAUGGCUACUGUCUGGAAAUUUUUUCUGGCUGGGAUGGACGCGCGGCCUAUCAGCUUGUUGGUUGGGUAGCGGCUCGCCAAGGCAACGACGGGUAGCCCGCCUGAGAGGGCGAACGGCCACCCUGGGACUGAGACACGGCCUAGACUCCAACGGGAGGCAGCAGUGGGGAAUAUUGCACAAUGGGCGCAAGCCUGAUGCAGCGACGCCGCGUGAGUGAUGCCGGCUUUCGGGUUGUAAACCUCUUCAAGCAGGGACGCAGCGAAAGUGACGGUACCCGCAGAAGAAGCACCGGCUAACUACGUG